CAGUCGCCGCGGUAAUACGUAGGGGGCAAGCGUUAUCCGGAUUUACUGGGUGUAAAGGGAGCGUAGACGGCAAAUAAAGUCUGAAGUGAAAACCCGCAGCUCAACUGCGGAGUUGCUUUGGAAACUUAUAAACUGGAGUGUCGGAGGGGUAAGCGGAAUUCCCAGUGUAGCGGUGAAAUGCGUAGAUAUUGGGAGGAACACCGGAGGCGAAGGCGGCUUACUGGAAGAUAACUGACGUUGAGGCUCGAAGGCGUGGGUAGCAAACAGGAUUAGAUACCCUUGUAGUCCCUGUCUCUUAUAA
This 301-nucleotide ribosomal RNA is filed under the name uncultured bacterium. RNAcentral describes it as "partial 16S ribosomal RNA". It matches the Rfam family "Bacterial small subunit ribosomal RNA", at positions 509 to 809 of the family's 1533-position model. The record is from RNAcentral.